Long non-coding RNA from Malaya genurostris, 1318 nucleotides. RefSeq lists it as uncharacterized. The transcript has 2 exons. The record is from RefSeq and is a predicted model, not a curated record. NCBI's taxonomy places the organism in Eukaryota, Metazoa, Arthropoda, Insecta, Diptera, Culicidae.
AUUGCUUUCAAUAGCUGUUGGGCCCAAUCAUUAAUUCGGUGCUCCAUUAAUCUGGCUAAGAUCAAAUAUUUUCUGUGAAAAACGAGAUAUGUAAUGUAGCGCAAGUUUAGUAAUAUUUUGAAUUAUCCAUACAUACACUUGAACUGUUAAAAGACUCCAAGGAAACGAAUGAAACACUUAAAUUUUCCUUCUAAAACACGUGCAAACUUUCUCGAUUAUCCACGGGAAAAAAUUCUCUGGUUUAUGAGAAACAAAACUGAUACGAUUAAUUCAAACAAUAAACUUAGUUGUCAUUACACAAAUAAGACCAUAGAUAAAAUGAACCAAUUUUUUUCUUGAUAUAAUGUAAAACACGAUUGAAUCAACAAAUACGUUGCCAAUAACUUCAACUCAACAUUUGUUGACAUGUAAUAAAUGGCUGAUUUAUUUCAACGAUAAAAUCUGCCGAAACAAACCAUGUUUUUCGUUAGCCAGGAUGAGAAUUUGUUUUCAAAUCAAAUAGAUAUAGUUGUUGAUGUAGAAGGAAGAAAUUGGUUCAAAAUAAUCAUAUUCUAGCUUGAAAUCAACAGAAAUCAUAUUUUAAAAUCUACUGACUGUUUUGUUAUUUUAAACUAGCUCAAUUUCUCUGCGUGUACAUAUCCAAUGAUUUAUUUGCUUUGAAUUACCGGAAAAGAUUGGUAAGAUUUUUAUGAGGUCGGGGACUUUGCCUCUCUGACACUCUAUAUCAAUAUUAACUAUAGCAUUAUGUGACGGUGCAAAUGGUACAACUGGAACUGCAUCUAAUGCAGGAACUGCCGCGAUGGCUAAUCUGAUGCCAAAGGAUGACGUUCUUUCACUCGUUAGUGAUAUGAAUAAGGAGAUCGAGUCUUCGCAAACGAGUGAUGACACGGGAAAGAUUUUGAAGGCUCUAUCGCACUCUUCUUUGGGCUGCUGAAAGUAUGACCUGUAUAAACGAUGCUUCGGAACGUACACCUGCCUUGAACUGACUGAGUUGCUGAAAACUACCCAAAAACGCCACAUCAACGUCAGAGCAUACCAACAAAGCAUCCCAGCCAAGGAUAAUCUCUCUCGUUACAAUCUGAAGAACCUGAAGAUCCAGAAAACUCUAAAAAAUUUGUGCCACAAACGAAUGAUGUAUUUUAAUUCAAAAUCAAUAUUUUGUAAAUCCCACCCUCCUCACAUUCCUUUACUAACUCUAGGAGAGUAUGCCGCCCCUCAAUACGGCGUCCCGUCUUCUCCUAUAACAACAAGACAAACGGCCACGUUAAGCUAAAGCAAAUGAGCCAAAUAAAAAUUUUGUUAUAAAACAAUAAAAAAG